This 22-nucleotide small nuclear RNA is filed under the name Arabidopsis thaliana (thale cress). Its description in RNAcentral is "snRNA_04765". Lineage: Eukaryota; Viridiplantae; Streptophyta; Magnoliopsida; Brassicales; Brassicaceae. The record is from RNAcentral.
AGAAGGUGCAAGAAAUAAAUGC